AGUUGCAUCUUAUUGUAGGAGAAAGUAGAGUUCAAAGCGCUGAUAGUGAUUGUGAUAACUUUACGCUAUGUCUAACGUUGAUUGAUAUCACUAAGCCUUACAAGCUAGUUAAAUCUUUCAAAAAGAAAAGUACAAAGAUGAUUUCUCUGGAUUCUCUAUGUAUAUUUGCAAGUGUUUCAAGUACGUUAUGUUGCAUCAUUCUCAAAGUACCUCAGAUUGUAGCCCUUGCAAAGUCAAAAACAAUACGUGGCAUAAGUAUUUCCAGUGUUCUAUUGGAAUUUUGGCUCUGCUUAUUUAUAUAGCCAUUGGUUAAUGAGUUAUCCAAAGAAAGUCAUGCAGUGAAGGGAAGUGUAGAACACCUGAUCCUUUAAGAAAUACAUAGACUGUACAGGCCUGAAAACUGACAAGAACAUCAAAAUAUGCUUAUAUUUACUCAUAUGUAGAUUUUAUUCUGCUUCUAAUGAUUUUGCAUUACUCUAAAUCAUUUGGUGUUUCCUGGGUAAUCUAUUUUGUUUUAAUUGCUAUCAUUCAGUACUGCAUAGCUUUUGAACACUUGCCGAAGACGUUUGUGUCCGCAGUGGUGGUAUGUAUUUCACUUUGGGUUACUUAGUAGAAGCUUAUAUUUCAAUUUUCAUUGGUUACAUAAUAAUAAUUGUAUUAGUUGGAAAGUAUAUUGUGUCUUAUGUCAUAUUUAUCCUCAAAAGAAUUAUUAAAAGUUUCAAUCAAUCACUUUGCUCCAGAUUUUAAAACUUUUUAUCUUUUACUGUAGCUUCGUUAAAGGAUAUAACGAGAGUAGGAACAUGGAGCAUCUGACACGUACUUUCACGAGUGGUUUUGAUUUUCCAUUCUGAUGGUACACCACAUAAGUCCCAGUAUUAUUAUUCCACACCUUUGCUACAUCUGGAUCCAGUAAUGUUUGUGAUCUGAAAAAAUGUGUACCUCCAGGUUCUCCAGAACAUCUUUUAUAUUAUUCAUUCACCCUGUUGGUAGAUUUCCUCUAUAUUUUAAACUUGAUGUUGUUAAGAUUGUAUUACACAGCACGUGUAUCAGUCAUCUGUCUGUUCAAACAACCAUUUAUUUCUUAGUAUUGAGCUGUGUAUAUAUCCUAUAUUCAUUAUGAAGUCAAUUGGAGACCUGUUUUUUAUACCCUGGAUUUUAUGGUUGUAUUAUGUGGUUAAGUGUCAGGUUUCUUAAUGUUUGCUGGCUUUAAGACUUUGAAUCAGGUUUAG
This 1229-nucleotide unclassified non-coding RNA is filed under the name Limulus polyphemus (Atlantic horseshoe crab). RNAcentral's name for it is "pQ-loop repeat-containing protein 3-like, transcript variant X1". Lineage: Eukaryota; Metazoa; Arthropoda; Merostomata; Xiphosura; Limulidae. The record is from RNAcentral.